RNAcentral lists this transfer RNA (76 nucleotides) under Tissierellia bacterium. Its description in RNAcentral is "tRNA-Val". It matches the Rfam family "tRNA". Rfam says of the family: Transfer RNA (tRNA) molecules are approximately 80 nucleotides in length. Their secondary structure includes four short double-helical elements and three loops (D, anti-codon, and T loops). Lineage: Bacteria; Bacillati; Bacillota; Tissierellia. The record is from RNAcentral.
GGGAAGUUAGCUCAGUUGGAAGAGUGCUACGUUGACAUCGUAGAGGUCGCUGGUUCGAGCCCAGUACCUCCCACCA